CUUUCAUGUAAUGACCGUGAAAUCCCUUCCAUAAGAACAUAGAGGUUUUGUUCUGUUCUGUUUCUAAUUUCAGAACAAUAAGUCUCCAAUGCACCACCACCCACCGGAAAAAGAGCACACAGUGACUGACAAGAUGGUUUCCGGGUGUCAUGUGAGAAGCAUUGAUCUAUGGUCUGUUCCCCUUCCUACUUCCUCUUCUUCUCUUUGCCCAUGUUCUGGUGCUAUCCAGAAGGAAAAGACUUUCUGAAGACCUGGGAGAGCAGCUUUGGCAUUGCUUUGCCCCUCUGAAGGCUCACAAGCCUGAGGCAGCCUGGAGCCCUGCCCAGAAGACACCCUGUUAAACACAGAGAUGAAGUUAUCACUGGCUUGGCAAAUUCUUCUCUGGCUGUUUUAUGAUAAUACCAUCAGCCAAGGGGAUGAAGCAAGGCAUGGUGCUUCAGAACAAUGAAGCCCCUUGGUGGAACAGCAUAGACCUUGGAAAAAAGAACUUUGAGACCCCUGGG
Molecule: long non-coding RNA, 503 nt
Filed under: Macaca nemestrina (pig-tailed macaque)
Lineage: Eukaryota; Metazoa; Chordata; Mammalia; Primates; Cercopithecidae
Description: lncRNA (ENSMNEG00000045617.1)
Source: RNAcentral